UUAGGAAUUUUGGGCAAUGGGCGAAAGCCUGACCCAGCAACGCCGCGUGGGUGAAGAAGGCCUUCGGGUCGUAAAGCCCUUUUCUGAGGGACGAUAAUGACGGUACCUCAGGAAUAAGCACCGGCUAACUACGUGCCAGCAGCCGCGGUAAUACGUAGGGUGCAAGCGUUGCCCGGAUUUAUUGGGCGUAAAGCGCGUGUAGGUGGUUUGGUGUGCUCCGCGUGAAAUCUCCCGGCUCAACCGGGAGAGGUCGCGGAUGACUACCGAACUCGAGCCUGGGAGGGGAAAGUGGAAUUCCCGGUGUAGUGGUGGAAUGCGUAGAUAUCGGGAGGAACACCAGUGGCGAAGGCGACUUUCUGGACCAGAGCUGACACUGAGACGCGAAAGCGUGGGGAGCGAUCCGG
Molecule: ribosomal RNA, 404 nt
Filed under: uncultured bacterium
Lineage: Bacteria
Description: bacterial SSU rRNA
Rfam family: Bacterial small subunit ribosomal RNA
Source: RNAcentral